Molecule: ribosomal RNA, 253 nt
Filed under: uncultured bacterium
Lineage: Bacteria
Description: partial 16S ribosomal RNA
Rfam family: Bacterial small subunit ribosomal RNA
Source: RNAcentral
GAUGUAGGGCGCGAGCGUUGUCCGGAUUUAUUGGGCGUAAAGAGCUCGUAGGCGGUUUGUCGCGUCGUUCGUGAAAACUCACAGCUCAACUGUGAGCUUGCGGUCGAUACGGGCAGGCUAGAGUUCGGUAGGGGAGACUGGAAUUCCUGGUGUAGCGGUGAAAUGCGCAGAUAUCAGGAGGAACACCGGUGGCGAAGGCGGGUCUCUGGGCCGAUACUGACGCUGAGGAGCGAAAGCGUGGGGAGCGAACAGG